This 126-nucleotide long non-coding RNA is filed under the name Cebus imitator (Panamanian white-faced capuchin). RNAcentral describes it as "SMAD5 antisense RNA 1 conserved region 2 (ENSCCAG00000002978.1)". It matches the Rfam family "SMAD5 antisense RNA 1 conserved region 2". Lineage: Eukaryota; Metazoa; Chordata; Mammalia; Primates; Cebidae. The record is from RNAcentral.
CCAGUCUCUUCCCUUUCUCCUCCCCUUUUACCCUCUCCUCCGCUGCUGUUAUUACGUGGAGUUUGGAGCCUAAGCUUUGAAAACUCCCAUGUGGCGCGCCCGUCUUAAGUCUGAGCAUGCUCAGUA